AUGUGUAAACAGUGGCUAUGGUGGCUCAAAGGGAAGCAGCGGCGGCUCCAUGGAAACACGCAACUUAGUGAUGUACUUUUUGUUUCUAGAUUUUGUUCACUCUCAUUAAAUUUUAAGCAAGAAAAUCCACUACCCUGCAAAAAGUUCUUCCAACAAAUAUUUUUGUGUGUGCAGCUAAGAUCAAUCUUCCUAUUCAUUCAUUGCACGCUGUUAUUCUGCAGGACCGGCGAAGUGCAAGGUCAUGUACAAGGGAUAAGCUGGUCAAUGAAGGAAAUUCUAAAAGAAAGCGACUACAAGCAACAUUUGAAGGUACAGCUUGUAUUAUGUUACUUUAGAAAUUAA
RNAcentral lists this ribosomal RNA (342 nucleotides) under Triticum aestivum (bread wheat). RNAcentral's name for it is "partial small subunit ribosomal RNA". Lineage: Eukaryota; Viridiplantae; Streptophyta; Magnoliopsida; Poales; Poaceae. The record is from RNAcentral.